AGCAACAUAGGAUACUUUGGGGAGGGAAAGGAAAAGAGGCAGCCUCCCAGAAAUGCCCGAAAGCUCAGAAAAAUAAAGCAUAAAGCUGUGCCAUUCGGAAGAAGCAAGACAGUCUUUCCUCACAGCUACGAUGCUGCACCGCUUCCGACAGAACCUGCUUUUCCCUCCAUUUACCUGGGCGACUGCUGCUCUUUCUGCUGCUGCUGGGGCUGCUGCAGUCUUGCUGCCUGCGCUUCACCCUGGCUUGGCUGACUCGAAACUCUUUCGUCUGCACAUUGCUAAGGAAGAAGAGCGAUGGAGCCACGGAUAUUUUUUUUAUUGGUUCUGGAAGCCAAGGGUUGCAAUAUGUGAUGAUUUCGGGGUUUUCUGUGGCGGGGUGGAGGGAGGAGAAAGGAAGGGUAUUAAUCUAGGAUAGGGUGGGUGAAAGCUUAAAGAAAUAUUAUGUAAAGUAAUCCAGUGCUUGACAAGGGCAUCAGCAACAAGAAUCCAGCCUCUGCUGCUCCAGAGGAUUAAUAUGGGGAAGUCACAGUGCUGCAGUCGGGUUUCACCUCAGUGCUGUACUGGAGAUGGAUAAAUAAGGUAUUGGUUGCAUCUGCCUGUUAAGGCAAAGCCAAGGGAGAAGGAGAGAGCGAGUGAAUGCAAAUGCAAAGGAAGAAGAAACGCUCUGUGCCGUUUGUCUGAUUCUGCGGAUUCUCACUGCAGAGAGGAUGGCUUGAUUAACAAAGCAAUGUAUGGACCGAGGGACUGUAAAUUGUAGCUUGAGCAUUCCUGGUGCUGCCAGGGAGUGAACUGAUGAGUUAGGUAGCUGCAGGAAUAUCCCCAGGGUAAACAGCAGCCUCUCACUCUGUGUCUAUAUUUGUGUACGUAUGUGCUUUUGUGUGUGUGUGUGUGAACACGUACAGAAAUGAAAGAAAGACAUUUCUGACCAAUUUACAGGGGACGUUUGUCAGUUUGCUGGGUCAGACUUGAUUACAGCUUGUAUUUUCAGCUCUAGCUCUACACCCAUUUCCUGACUGAGGUGGCACUUUGUGAAAACAGAUGGUAGGCAGUAUUCUUUUAAGAAUUGUGAAAGCAGAUCCUUUCCGCUUAACACCUUGAAGCACUGAACCUUCUGCACUGUGCUGAGAGAAACCGUGGGGUUUCAUUUUCUCCAUCUUAAAAUCUCUAUAAACACAGCUGUAUUCAGUAUGGUGAAAAAUUCUAUACUGUAAAUAGAAAUGUGAUCAAUCUAAUCAAAAUAAAUGCAUCCCAGAUGACUUCUAGACCAGCUGGCUACCACAGUCAUCAGAUGGCUAAAUCCUCAACUGAGCAUUUGUAUUCAGUGUUAUACUUGCAUCUUUUUAUUUUUCUCUUUUUUUUUUUCUUAGAUUUUCAAAAUCAGCCUCUAAUUUAAAAGGAUUCUUCAUAUAUUUAGAAAAGGCAAUGCUUUCUGUGAAAUGUACCUGGGUGUAUUUUUUACUUUGGAAUCUGCUUGGGGCGAUUUUAGAGUAGGUAGACUUGUCACAGUACAGGCAUAUUUCAUUUGGUAGGUAGCUCAGCCUGGCCAUAUCUGAACAAUGCAGAAACAGGGAAAACAACCACUGCAUACAGCUAGCAGGGCUUGGCAUGGAUUUUAGCAGCUGCCUAUCAAGAAAGACAAGUUUUUUUUCUUUCCGUUUUUCCCUUUUAUACAAAGCCAUAGACCAUAAUGUCAUACUAAAAUGUGUAUGAGGGGAUUUCCCAAUAGUCAUGGUGAGCUAGCCUGCAGGACUCCCGUCUAGUCCUUCCACUAUUUUUUCCCCAGCUUACAAAGGCAGCCCUGUAUGUUGAAUUGUAUUUAGCCAGCUGUUGGAUAGCAUUCUUGUGCUGGGGGCUAAGGAGUCUUAUUACUCCCAAACUGUAGUUUUCUGUUUGCUUAAAGAAAAUUGGCAAUACAGCAGGCUCUGCAAAUAAGUUUAUGCCACUCCUAUACCUUUCUGAAUCUGUUGUGUGCUUCUAAGUCAAGCAGUUUAAAGCAAGCAAGGAGGGAGGAGGAGAGACUCUGAACUUGCAGCUUCAAAGCUACAGAGACAAGCAAAAUGUCAGCAGCUUGUAAUUAGGAGCCCACGGUUACGUCAGUGACUGUAUCUCUCCAGGAAUUGCUAUGAGAUGUGUGCCACAAAGCAAAGGAAGACUCUCAUAACCUGGUUAACAAGCCUGGCUCAAACAAGAAAGAGCAAAAUGGAUUAAUGAAUCUGCUGUGUUCCUAAUUCAGAUGUGGAUGGAUUACACGCACAAGGUUUGCUGAAUUCUGCAGCAGCGAAGACUGAAUUAUAGCAUGCAUUCACCAAAAGUGCAAAUCCUUCAGGAAAAAAAUGCAGAUGAGCAGUCUAUCCUUGAAAAUUUCUUUCCUAGCUCUGUCCUGUACAGGCAGCUGCAUGACAUGGAGGCACGCUCUGAAGGAAGAGACUGGCGAGCUGCACAAAGAUGUUUAAAAGGAAGGUGCAAUUAGACACAAAGCAAGCCUGCUGAAAUUCUGUUCUGGCAUUACAGAUUUGAUACUGAAAUACCACCACAGAGGAGACCGGCUGGGCUCUGGUGUGGUUUAUAUUAAGGCUUCUCGGUUAAGAGCGAGGGGGAAGGGACAGGGCUUCCUGCAGCAUCUUGCAGCCAUACAGAAGUCCCCAGGGCUGUGGGAAGCAGGAGGGAUGGGUGUGCUCUUAAAGACACAUGCCCAGAUCCUGCCAAGGGGCUUUCUGACCUCUGCAAUUAUUUUUAGGUCCAUGAAGGCAACUCGGCAGUGCUUUAGCAGUGAGAUUGCAGGGGGUGUUUAAUCUGCUGCGACUGGCCUUUCUCUGUGUCAUGGCUGGGAAAGGCUUAUAGAGCUUUUAUCAAUACCCCUCCACCCCUCCACCACAUCCAGCACGCAUGUCUGUCGCUGUUCCUAAAGACCAGUUACUGGAGUUCUGGUGUGUUUUCCUGCUCCCAGCAGAAGUCACUUGCAGUUCAGCUCUGUUGUAGUUGCUUUUUAAUUUACCAGAUAGGUAGAUUGUAUUUUACAAACAGUGGGGGUGGGUGGUUUUUGGUUUGGUUUUGGUUUGUUUUGGUUUUUUUGGUUUUUUUUGGACUGUGAACACAAAUUUGUAGGAUGAGGUGACUCUGUAUAUUAAACCAAUAGCUCUUUGAAUUGUGUGUAGUAUAAUCUAAAUAUACUUACUUUAAUUAAUAGAAGGUUACAAAAGCUGGCAUUGUCUGGGGCUGUUUAAUUUACAUCUUAGGUUUAGUCAAUGAGCACAACCUGCCUGAUUAGAACAGUGUAUUCUGCACAGCCAACAGGGUGGAAGGCAUUAUUUUGUUUGUGUUAGUUCAAACAGCUGGUCAUUAAUGCAGGCCCCAUCUCCAGAGUGAAGUGCUAGUGGACAUGAAUGGCUGCCUGAUUAAUGCUGCCCCUCGACGGGUCCUUCAUCCAGCAGCAAUGCUCGCAGCAGAAUAAUGCAGCGGGAUUUGAUUGCGCUCUAACAGGGUAGUAUGUCAUUGUGUCACCAAGCGAUCGAGGUUAUUAUGGGGUAGGGCAGACAGACGGGACAGUGGGGUUACUAGACCGUGGCAUUUUUAGAAAUGCAGGGCUGACCUACUUAGAGUUAUUCUUGCUGGCUGGCAGCUGCCUGGUGCGGGGCUCCCCCGGAUAGGCUGCGGCUGUUGCUAGGGGGAAUUAGCAUGAAUUUUUCCACAUACAGACUCAGUGAUUGAAUGAUAAAAGCUGACUGGAAUUAAAGAGAUUCGGUUCAGUAUUAUGCAGAUUUAUCUCCCUCAUUUUUUUUUCUCUCUGUCAAAUGCAUAAAAAGGAGCAGAAAACAGUUUGUUUCCAUUUAUUUUUGACCUAUUUUUUUUUUUUCCAGAGGAGGGCAGAAGUGUUGUGAGGUGAUAAUUUAAUAUUUAGGCCGUUGAAAUGAUAUGAUAGUGAGCAUGCAUCUUUAAUGUAUGGAAGAUUAAAAUGCUGCCUCUCUGGAAGGGAAUGAAAUGAAUAUAUUUUGUGUUCUCGUCAAGCUGCCACCUCUUUUUAUUUCAAGCCAUGUCAGAUUCUUUUAUCUGGAAAGGGGAAACAUAUACCAUGUUUUAUUGCAUAGCAUUACUCUUAGCUAUUUUUAGCUAUCUGUCCUUCAAAAAAUUAGUCUUAUUUAUACUAGUGGAUGAAAUUAAUCCCCAGGCUAUGCCUUAUGUAUGUGGAGACAGAUGCCCAGGGUAGCUGCAGUGUUGUGUGUCAUGUUCAUCUGAAAAGGUGUUUACACACUGCAGGCUUAUCAGCACUGCAUACCUAGCAGAGUGCAGAUGCCUGACAUGUAAUCAGAUCAAUUAGAGAACUCUCCUGGAUUAUGGAGUAUUUUUCAGGCCAUGGUUUGAAGUUGGAAUCUCUAGAUGGCCUUCUUUUAUUUAUCUACAUCUGCCUAAAACAGUGUUAUCUUUUCAGAGAACACUGUGCUCCCUUAGGAGGCAAAUAAUAACAAUACUUAGUGAAGAAUCCUUUGAUGUAAUCAUGAAUAUUUCCUUUGUUAUUAUCACUAGUUAUAGAAGAACUUUGUUUAAACCGCUAUUUCCCCUUGUGUGAUCUUUUGCCAUUCAAAGAAAUACCAAUUUAGUACUUAUAAUUUUAAGUUAAAUAUUCAUGGCAAUGCAUCAUGACAUCACACUCAAAGAAGUGGGAAUUUUCAAAAUAUGAGACAUUGGGGGAUGGGAGAGAAGGACCCACAUGCCUUUGGAAAUGCAAAAUAAAAAAUGGGACUUAGUGCUGAAAAGUAGUGAACUAAUUUUUGUCUGAAACAGUUUAAUUUCAAAUAUUUGGAUGGAUGAGGUACCUUUUAGAGGUUUGUGAACAACGUGCAUAUCUGAGGUACCUUUUAGAGGAGUGUGAGCUGCCUGUGCAUCUCUCUGGACAACUAGCUGCUUCCUUGGACCUAGAGCUGUCCUGCCUUGGCCCCUGGAAUUUAUUGGGAAGAUAUUAAAAAAAUGGAGACAUGAAUUUGAAUACAUUUUGUGGCUGAGGCAAAGCAUUCAGUUCCUACAGAGUUGAAUUUCCUAUGUUUUUUUUUUCCUGGCAUUGAUUCAUUACUGAAACCUGCACCACUUCCUUCUCUGCUUCUUCCUGACAGUCUCAUGGAGUGACAUAAUUUUAGAGAAGUGAAAGUGAGGAGUGGCACAGUUUGAUGCCCAGUAAUUGUGUUUGCCUUGUCUGUCCUCGGAGGUUACUCCAGAAAGUUGUGGUCCCACUUCCCUCAGCAAUAUUGUCUUGAUCAAAAUCUGAUGUCCUGCUCCACUUCUGUAGGAUGCUGCAGGAUGCCAGGCAACAGCCCUUGUAGACAGCUUUUGUCUACAGUUGUGUCUUGAGGUUUUUGCCCUUGUUGGUUGUAGCCAGUUGUAGUUUCAUCCAGUUCACCUGCGAUAUUAGCUGACUUGGGCUUCAGCAAAUCAAAAUAAACAUUCAAUACUGUACUAAUGCAGUACCUCAUUUUCUAGAAGAAAGAAUUUGAGUGUUUGCUAUAUUUGUGCAAAAAAAGAGGGAGUUCAAAGAAAAGCAACAAACAAGAUACAGCAUAUACUCUUGGAAAAGAGCUGCAUCCUUGCUGUUUAUCUGGAUUUCAACACACUGAUUGUUUAUAACAAACAUCAAAUCAGAAAGUUUAACAAACCAUCAAGUGACAUAUUAAAUAUAAAAAAUAUAAUGCGCUAGGAAUUGUAUUAAAUGUAAAGUUGCCCUGCUGGAAAUCUCUUCAAUGAAAAUUUUUUCCAAACAAUUGAGUAUGUGAAUGAUGUGAUCAUAAUACUUUGGAUAAUUAUGAGUAGCAGAAAUACAGAGUUAAUGGCACAAACUAAAAAUCUGAGCUCUGUGUGUGUGUAUAUACUGCAUAGGAAGCAGGAUGCCAAAGGUGUUUGAAAUACAUACCCACGUUGAAAAUGUUGUCAAUUGCGCACAGUCUUUCGAAAAAUCCAUAUUAAUCACUUUCUGAUGAUCUUCUCUGAGGUUUCUAUUCUUGCUACAACUUACACCUCCUACCUAGAAGUUUCUUACCUACAAAAGAUUGUGUUAUAUUUUUCAACAUUCUUGUACUGUGACCUCUCCUGUGAGAUAUGAAAGAUCUAUUAUGCUGAGUUUCAUGUUCUUGGGUGGCUGAGUGAAUGCUGAUUUACUGGGAGGGUAUGUAGGCAAUAAUUUUUUUUCCCAUCAAAAUACCCAGAAUCCUGCCUGCAUUUGCAGCUGUGAGAUGGCUGUACUGAUUGGUGCAUUCCUGACAUCAAAGUCUUGGCCAGUCAUGGAUUUGCUGAGCAUUUCGUGAUUUUAUGGCAACUUUCUGUUUUUCUAAAAAUGAUCAGAGGAUGCAGGAUAUAGAGCAACUCAUCUAGAUUCCCAUGCUGUAAGGAGUGAGUUGACUCCCAGUCUUCACCUCCUGCAGAGCCAUACAGAUCAGUUCUUCUGCAGCAAAUGUGUUUCAGUCCCAAUUUCAAACCAAAAGUACAAGGAAUAGUCUCAUAUUUCUUAAAAGAGUGGCGGUUAGCACAUUCCUUUUAUUGCAAUGCAGUAGGGAAUACAAAUGUUUAACAAAAUAAAAUCCUCAUAAGAUUUUUUUUCUGUGAUCCAUUAACAGGAAACAAAUUCUGUGACAAAUGCUCCUGUAACAGCCAGAAGCAGCAUUAUUGUGGCUCCCACACUCCUGCUCUUCCUGUACCCAUGCAUGUAUGCGCCUGUGCAUUCAGAAUUGCUGCAUACAUGUAGUGUGUGGCUGUGUAUACAAGACACAAGCAUAACUUACACAAGCACAGCACUGAAGCAUAGAGCAUGUAAUCACAGUUGUCUCAGUGUAGCACCAAAGCCUGUGCCUCUAGAUAUAUGAUGCUGUUUUAUCCAUGAUGAAAAGUGGCUUGAGAUGAAAUGUAAGUCAUUCUGGUGUGUAGCACCAGCCAUUGUGUUAAUGCUAUCAUCCCAUUCAGCACCAGCAAAGACAAAAAAAAAAAAAAAAAAAAAAAAAAGAAAAAGAAAAAGAAAAUCAUGUUUAUGUGCAAUAGAAUGGUAGCAAAAAGGGUAGUGUGGUGAAAAAUUGGGUGUACCUAGAUAGCUGUGUUUCAUAACUACUUGUGCCUUUUGUAGAUAUGCAUAAUGAAAUGCAUGAUGGGCUGUUUAAGACAGAGAGAGAUAUUUUAAAUUAUUGCUAAUACUUCCCUCCUGCUCUUAGGCCACACCUACUUCAAAAGUGAAUCCAGACUCAGAUCUUGACAGAGAUCGUGACCCUGUUGAAACCAAUGACUGUUUUGUUGUAGAAUUCAGUUGGGCCAGGCUUUCAUCUGUUGAAUUUUCCCCUGAACAUGUCUUUUCUCUUCUCUCUUUCUCCAAAGUGUGGUGUUUCUGUUUCUACAUUUCCCACCCUCUGUUCCUCUGAAAAUUCUUUGAAAGGUUACAUUUUUGUUGAGCAGUUUACUAUAAAUUUGCUCUUGAGUAGGAGAAAAUGUGGGGAAAUAUCUCUUCCCUCCUGAGCUAGUAAAGUAGUAUUGCAGUGAGUCUCAAUAAUUAUGUUUUUAUGAAUAGUCCUGAUUUCAUCAUAAGAUGUCUUUAGUUUUUAAUGAAAGGGAACAGGCAGUGAACAAAACAAAUAUGCCAAGGAGAACCUGGUCUCUUAACAGGCUGCAGAAACUCGGGUAAUGAGAUGGCUGGUGUCUUGACCUACAAAGCUAGGGCUCUUAGAAAUGUCGAGGGAGGCAGAACGCAACAAUUUCAAACAAGAAAU
Molecule: long non-coding RNA, 7730 nt
Filed under: Taeniopygia guttata (zebra finch)
Lineage: Eukaryota; Metazoa; Chordata; Aves; Passeriformes; Estrildidae
Description: lncRNA (ENSTGUG00000023495.1)
Source: RNAcentral